GACGAACGCUGGCGGCGUGCUUAACACAUGCAAGUCGAACGGAAAGGCCCUGCUUUUGUGGGGUGCUCGAGUGGCGAACGGGUGAGUAACACGUGAGUAACCUGCCCUUGACUUUGGGAUAACUUCAGGAAACUGGGGCUAAUACCGGAUAGGAGCUCCUGCUGCAUGGUGGGGGUUGGAAAGUUUCGGCGGUUGGGGAUGGACUCGCGGCUUAUCAGCUUGUUGGUGGGGUAGUGGCUUACCAAGGCUUUGACGGGUAGCCGGCCUGAGAGGGUGACCGGCCACAUUGGGACUGAGAUACGGCCCAGACUCCUACGGGAGGCAGUAGUGGGGAAUAUGGCACAAUGGGCGGAAGCCUGAUGCAGCAACGCCGCGUGCGGGAUGACGGCCUUCGGGUUGUAAACCGCUUUCGCCUGUGACGAAGCGUGAGUGACGGUAAUGGGUAAAGAAGCACCGGCUAACUACGUG
RNAcentral lists this ribosomal RNA (468 nucleotides) under uncultured bacterium. RNAcentral describes it as "partial 16S ribosomal RNA". It matches the Rfam family "Bacterial small subunit ribosomal RNA", at positions 28 to 507 of the family's 1533-position model. The record is from RNAcentral.